Molecule: ribosomal RNA, 484 nt
Filed under: uncultured bacterium
Lineage: Bacteria
Description: partial 16S ribosomal RNA
Rfam family: Bacterial small subunit ribosomal RNA
Source: RNAcentral
AUUGAACGCUGGCAGCAGGCCUUACACAUGCAAGUCGAGCGGAUGAAGGGAGCUCUCUCCUGGAUCGAGCGGCGGACGGGUGAGUAAUGCCUAGGAAAGUGCCUGGGAGUGGGGGAUAACGUCCGGAAACGGGCGCGAAUACCGCAUACGUCCUGAAGGAGAAAGUGGGGGAUCUUCGGGCGUCACGAUAUCAGAAUAGCAUAGGUCGGAUUAGCUAGUUGGUGGGGUAAAGGCCUACCAAGGCGACGAUCCGUAACUGGUCUGAGAGGAUGACCAGUCACACUGGAACUGAGACACGGUCCAGACUCCUACGGGAGGCAGCAGUGGGGAAUAUUGGACAAUGGGCGAAAGCCUGAUCCAGCCAUGCCGCGUGUGUGAAGAAGGUCUUCGGAUUGUAAAGCGCUUUAAGUUGGGAGGAAGGGCAGUAAGUUAAUACCUUGCUGUUUUGACGUUACCAACAGAAUAAGCACCGGCUAACUUCGUG